Molecule: ribosomal RNA, 410 nt
Filed under: Acidobacteriota bacterium
Lineage: Bacteria; Pseudomonadati; Acidobacteriota
Description: Acidobacteria bacterium partial 16S ribosomal RNA
Rfam family: Bacterial small subunit ribosomal RNA
Source: RNAcentral
UCGAGAAUCAUUCACAAUGGGGGAAACCCUGAUGGUGCGACGCCGCGUGGGGGAAUGAAGGUCUUCGGAUUGUAAACCCCUGUCAUGUGGGAGCAAGUUAAAAAGAUAGUACCACAAGAGGAAGAGACGGCUAACUCUGUGCCAGCAGCCGCGGUAAUACAGAGGUCUCAAGCGUUGUUCGGAAUCACUGGGCGUAAAGCGUGCGUAGGCGGUUUCGUAAGUCGUGUGUGAAAGGCGGGGGCUCAACCCCCGGACUGCACAUGAUACUGCGAGACUAGAGUAAUGGAGGGGGAACCGGAAUUCUCGGUGUAGCAGUGAAAUGCGUAGAUAUCGAGAGGAACACUCGUGGCGAAGGCGGGUUCCUGGACAUUAACUGACGCUGAGGCACGAAGGCCAGGGGAGCGAAAGGG